UAUGUCCUACGGGACGCAGCAGUGAGGAAUAUUGGUCAAUGGGCGGGAGCCUGAACCGGCCACGUCGCGUGAGGGAAGACGGUCCUAUGGAUUGUAAACCUCUUUAGGCGGGGAGCAAUGCCGGGCACGUGUGCCCGGAGGGAGAGUACCCGCAGAAUAAGCAUCGGCUAACUCCGUGCCAGCAGCCGCGGUAAUACGGAGGAUGCGAGCGUUAUCCGGAUUUAUUGGGGUUAAAGGGUGCGUAGGCGGAUUUUUAAGUCAGCGGUAAAAUGUCCGGGCUCAACCCGGGCCGGCCGUUGAAACUG
RNAcentral lists this ribosomal RNA (305 nucleotides) under uncultured bacterium. RNAcentral describes it as "bacterial SSU rRNA". It matches the Rfam family "Bacterial small subunit ribosomal RNA", at positions 333 to 635 of the family's 1533-position model. The record is from RNAcentral.